Molecule: non-coding RNA, 72 nt
Organism: Dispira simplex
Lineage: Eukaryota; Fungi; Kickxellomycota; Dimargaritomycetes; Dimargaritales; Dimargaritaceae
Source: the annotation of a GenBank genome assembly
GCCUCUUUGGCUUAGUGGUAGAGCGUCGGUCUCGUAAACCGAAGAUCGCUGGUUCGAUCCCGGCAAGAGGCA